This 468-nucleotide ribosomal RNA is filed under the name uncultured bacterium. RNAcentral's name for it is "partial 16S ribosomal RNA". It matches the Rfam family "Bacterial small subunit ribosomal RNA", at positions 28 to 507 of the family's 1533-position model. The record is from RNAcentral.
GACGAACGCUGGCGGCGUGCUUAACACAUGCAAGUCGAACGGAAAGGCCCUGCUUUUGUGGGGUGCUCGAGUGGCGAACGGGUGAGUAACACGUGAGUAACCUGCCCUUGACUUUGGGAUAACUUCAGGAAACUGGGGCUAAUACCGGAUAGGAGCUCCUGCUGCAUGGUGGGGGUUGGAAAGUUUCGGCGGUUGGGGAUGGACUGGCGGCUUAUCAGCUUGUUGGUGGGGUAGUGGCUUACCAAGGCUUUGACGGGUAGCCGGCCUGAGAGGGUGACCGGCGACAUUGGGACUGAGAUACGGCCCAGACUCCUACGGGAGGCAGCAGUGGGGAAUAUUGCACAAUGGGCGGAAGCCUGAUGCAGCAACGCCGCGUGCGGGAUGACGGCCUUCGGGUUGUAAACCGCUUUCGCCUGUGACGAAGCGUGAGUGACGGUAAUGGGUAAAGAAGCACCGGCUAACUACGUG